Molecule: long non-coding RNA, 1800 nt
Organism: Papaver somniferum (opium poppy)
Lineage: Eukaryota; Viridiplantae; Streptophyta; Magnoliopsida; Ranunculales; Papaveraceae
Exons: 3
Source: RefSeq, a predicted model, not a curated record
UUCUUUCUUUUCUUCUUCUUUCUUAUUCUCUUUUAUUUUUCUCUCUUUCUUCUCCUUCUUCUUCUUCUCUGGCGAUUUCGAGAGGAAUUAUCCGAUGAGAACCCUUGUAGAAAAUUUUGAGAUCAAUUAAUCGAGUGGGGUACCGAUGAGUUCUUAGUUUGGGUUUGGUUAGAAUCAACGAUUGAGUUGAAGAGAUGUGUUCCUGUGAAAGUUAGGGUUUCCGUGAGAUGAAGUUAUGGAGGAGUUGAUUAAUUAAAAGAGGAUUUGAGUAGUUGGUGAUGAAUAACAAAUCGGGUUGGUGUUUAAUUGAAGUUCUGAAGUUGAUUCGUUGAUAAAUUUAUAGGUUAGGGUUUCAUGAGAAGAACUCAAAGAAGAAUUAGAAGAUGAAAUUGAUAUCUUAGGAAGGGGUUUUGAGAUGGGAUUGUUGACAUGAAUACUUUUGGAUGCUGUUUUGGGAUCGAAUUAGAUAACUCUUGAUUUGGGAAUUGAAUUAGAGUCUGUUCAAGAACUGAUGGUGAUGAUGGAACAUUUUGGUGAUGGAUGAACUGAAUCGAGGUAAUUGUUCUUAUCAGUAAAUUUAGUUUAGUUAUUCAUUUCAGUUUUGGGUUUUGAAGUUGUGGAUGAUUAAUGAAUAUUAUGAUGUUCAAUUGAAGUUGAAGUUAAUGGAGUUAUUGAGUGAAGAGUAUAUGAAAAUAUAACUGUGAUUGUAAUUGAGAGUUCUAGAGUUACAGUUGCAGUUUGGUGAUGUUGGUGGUCUGCGUUAGUGGUUAUCUGGGUGUUGAAUUGCAGGUUUUGUGAUUGGUUUGUUUGGUUCCAGUUCAUGGAGUAGGCAAUGAAGUUAUGGAUGCUACAGAUUUAGUAGUUUGAACUAUAAUGAGGUAUUGAGAUGUGUUACAGGUAUGCGAAUGGUGUUGUUGUGUUGAGGUGAAGGGUAUGAUUAAAGUUCUAGAGGGUGGCUGAUUUAAGUGGUGUUAUGGAUGUUGUACAGAUUGCAGCUGCAAUUGAAAGGGGAAAACUGAUGAUAAUGGAUUGAGAUUCGGCUGUGGUUGAGUUGAAGUUUAUAUAAACGAUUAUAAUGGAUAGUCUUAUUGUAGUCUAGUGACCUUUAGUAACCUGAGAUGAUGAUGUUAUGACAAUGAAGUCACAAUUGAUGUGACUUAGAGAAGUAAACGUAAUGGUGGGUUGGUAUUGUUGUAUAUGAGGUCGUGGUGGUGUUACUAAACUUGAGGAGAACUUGGAAGAAUGGUUGGAGAACAUUGGAGUGUAAACUGAGUGCUGAUUUGGUGUCAGUAUUAAAUUAUUGUUGUUAUUGAACUAGGUAGUUCUGAUUUGGUUAAGAUGGAUGUAGGGUUUGUUUGAAUGUGCAGAAGUGGUAAUGUUGUUAGUGUUUAGAUUCUUGAGGUUGCAGGGGUAUAAGUAAGAGCUGAGUUUGUGUUGUGCAAAGUUGGGUUGUAGUUGGAGUGAACUUACAGUUUUUAGUGGAGUUAAAUCUCUCUUGUAGAAAGUUGUUGCUAGAAGCUGCAAUUGCAGGAUGAACCAGUGGAUCGUGGAUCUCGAGGUAGGCGUGGAUUGUCAUCAAAAGAGUUUCAGAGAUAAAUCAGAGUUGCGCUGCGGAAGUUUUGUGGCGUUGAGUCUUCUGCUAUGUUAUUAUGUUGUAUAUUCUAUUCGUAAACCAAAUGACUAUUGUAUAUGUAUCAUUUGAGAGGAGAUCUUGUAUAUAUAAAUAUUUCUGAGUGGGGCUAGCUUUGGGUUAAAUUUUAUAGCAGAUUUCUUAAUCAAUGUUUAAGUAAAUGAUUUAGA